RNAcentral lists this long non-coding RNA (503 nucleotides) under Lepisosteus oculatus (spotted gar). RNAcentral describes it as "lncRNA (ENSLOCG00000022132.1)". The record is from RNAcentral. Lineage: Eukaryota; Metazoa; Chordata; Actinopteri; Semionotiformes; Lepisosteidae.
GGCAGGUAAGAGGCUGAGGCAUGCUGCCCCUCUCUUGCGCAGCGCACACAUCGAACGCAGAGGGGAUUCUGCAGUCACAGGCGCUACAGCAGAAAAGCCCGCCGCCGGAUCAGCCUAGCUAAGGAAACUGCCAGUGAAGCCUGGGUGAAAAAGGACUGCACAUGUCUACUGGAGCCUCCGACCUGCAUGCUGGCUCAAUGCUGGAGUCCUCCCAUUCCCACUUCCAUUAAGAUCAUCGCCUGCCCAGUGCAAGCACUGCAUCAGAGGUGCAGAUGCCCCACUUUUGGCACCUGCAGAGUCUAUUCGAUGUGGAAAGCCCAUGUGUGGGUCAGCAGUGUGGGACAGCGGUUAGAGAGCUGGGCUUGGAACUGGAAGGCUGUAGGUUCACAUCCCAGGUAACCCCAGGAACGGCAGUUGUACCCUUGAGCAUGGCACUUGUUAAAUACCCAGCUCUGUGAACGGGGGAAAGCAUCACACAAAUAAAUUAAACUCCUGUUGCAAUG